Molecule: microRNA, 22 nt
Filed under: Vitis vinifera (wine grape)
Lineage: Eukaryota; Viridiplantae; Streptophyta; Magnoliopsida; Vitales; Vitaceae
Description: vvi-miR3632-5p
Source: miRBase by way of RNAcentral
GGAUUGGGGGCCGAUGGAAAGG